CACACCGCCCGUCACACCACGAAAGUGGGCAACACCUGAAGUCGGGUAGGUAACUGGCUUGCCAGAGCCGCCUGCCGAGGGUGGGGUUCAUGAUUGGGGUG
This 101-nucleotide ribosomal RNA is filed under the name uncultured bacterium. RNAcentral's name for it is "partial 16S ribosomal RNA". It matches the Rfam family "Bacterial small subunit ribosomal RNA", at positions 1386 to 1482 of the family's 1533-position model. The record is from RNAcentral.